UACGGAGGGAGCUAGCGUUGUUCGGAAUUACUGGGCGUAAAGCGCGCGUAGGCGGCUUUGUAAGUUAGAGGUGAAAGCCCGGGGCUCAACCCCGGAACUGCCUUUAAAACUGCAUCGCUUGAAUCCGGGAGAGGUGAGUGGAAUUCCGAGUGUAGAGGUGAAAUUCGUAGAUAUUCGGAAGAACACCAGUGGCGAAGGCGGCUCACUGGACCGGUAUUGACGCUGAUGUGCGAAAGCGUGGGGAGCAAACAGG
Molecule: ribosomal RNA, 253 nt
Filed under: uncultured bacterium
Lineage: Bacteria
Description: partial 16S ribosomal RNA
Rfam family: Bacterial small subunit ribosomal RNA
Source: RNAcentral